CAGUAGCCGCGGUAAUACGGAGGAUCCAAGCGUUAUCCGGAAUCAUUGGGUUUAAAGGGUCCGUAGGCGGUCUUGUAAGUCAGUGGUGAAAGCCCAUCGCUCAACGGUGGAACGGCCAUUGAUACUGCAGGACUUGAAUUAUUGGGAAGUAACUAGAAUAUGUAGUGUAGCGGUGAAAUGCUUAGAGAUUACAUGGAAUACCAAUUGCGAAGGCAGGUUACUACCAAUUGAUUGACGCUGAUGGACGAAAGCGUGGGUAGCGAACAGGAUUAGAUACCCGAGUAGUCCCUGUCUCUUAUAC
Molecule: ribosomal RNA, 301 nt
Filed under: uncultured bacterium
Lineage: Bacteria
Description: partial 16S ribosomal RNA
Rfam family: Bacterial small subunit ribosomal RNA
Source: RNAcentral